This is a small nucleolar RNA of Sorex araneus (European shrew), 104 nucleotides long. The record is from Ensembl. Lineage: Eukaryota; Metazoa; Chordata; Mammalia; Eulipotyphla; Soricidae.
AUUCUUUUCCAGUUCAUAAGCAUAAUACUUGGGUCUUUGAACAUUUGUGUGACACGUACCUCUCUUAAAUGUUGUUAUGCAUUUGGUACAUUAUCUGUCUGCUG